This 69-nucleotide transfer RNA is filed under the name Epicrionops cf. marmoratus UMMZ 190478. Its description in RNAcentral is "tRNA-His". It matches the Rfam family "tRNA". From Rfam's summary of the family: Transfer RNA (tRNA) molecules are approximately 80 nucleotides in length. Their secondary structure includes four short double-helical elements and three loops (D, anti-codon, and T loops). The record is from RNAcentral. Lineage: Eukaryota; Metazoa; Chordata; Amphibia; Gymnophiona; Rhinatrematidae.
ACAAACAUAGUUUAACCAAAACAUUAAAUUGUGAUUUUAAAAAUAGAAGUUAAAAACUUCUUGUUUGUC